This 497-nucleotide ribosomal RNA is filed under the name uncultured bacterium. Its description in RNAcentral is "partial 16S ribosomal RNA". It matches the Rfam family "Bacterial small subunit ribosomal RNA", at positions 28 to 507 of the family's 1533-position model. The record is from RNAcentral.
GAUGAACGCUGGCGGCGUGCCUAAUACAUGCAAGUCGAGCGAACGGACGAGGAGCUUGCUUCUCUGACGUUAGCGGCGGACGGGUGAGUAACACGUGGAUAACCUACCUAUAAGACUGGGAUAACUUCGGGAAACCGGAGCUAAUACCGGAUAAUAUAUUGAACCGCAUGGUUCAAUAGUGAAAGACGGUUUUGCUGUCACUUAUAGAUGGAUCCGCGCUGCAUUAGCUAGUUGGUAAGGUAACGGCUUACCAAGGCAACGAUGCAUAGCCGACCGGAGAGGGUGAUCGGCCACACGGGAACUGAGACACGGACCAGACUCCUACGGGAGGCAGCAGUAGGGAAUCUUCCGCAAUGGGCGAAAGCCUGACGGAGCAACGCCGCGUGAGUGAUGAAGGUCUUCGGAUCGUAAAACUCUGUUAUUAGGGAAGAACAUAUGUGUAAGUAACUGUGCACGUCUUGACGGUACCUAAUCAGAAAGCCACGGCUAACUACGUG